RNAcentral lists this small nucleolar RNA (137 nucleotides) under Ornithorhynchus anatinus (platypus). The record is from RNAcentral. Lineage: Eukaryota; Metazoa; Chordata; Mammalia; Monotremata; Ornithorhynchidae.
CCCCUCUCAGGAUGGCACCUGGAGAGUUUCCAGUACUCUACCAGUCUCGACUAUGGAGGAAGAGUCAAGCAAAGGCAUAUACAUUCCAUUCCUAGCUUGGCCAGUGCCUAGCAAGUGGAAGGCAAUCUGCUACAAGU